This 521-nucleotide ribosomal RNA is filed under the name Comamonadaceae bacterium enrichment culture 13Fcon10. RNAcentral's name for it is "SSU rRNA". It matches the Rfam family "Bacterial small subunit ribosomal RNA", at positions 8 to 525 of the family's 1533-position model. The record is from RNAcentral. Lineage: Bacteria; Pseudomonadati; Pseudomonadota; Betaproteobacteria; Burkholderiales; Comamonadaceae.
AGAGUUUGAUCAUGGCUCAGAUUGAACGCUGGCGGCAUGCCUUACACAUGCAAGUCGAACGGCAGCACGGGAGCAAUCCUGGUGGCGAGUGGCGAACGGGUGAGUAAWRUAUCGGAACGUGCCCAGUCGUGGGGGAUAACGYAGCGAAAGCURYGCUAAUACCGCAUACGAUCUAUGGAUGAAAGCGGGGGAUCGCAAGRCCUCGCGCGAUUGGAGCGGCCGAUAUCAGAUUAGSUAGUUGGUGGGGUAAAGGCCACCAAGSCGACGAUCUGUAGCUGGUCUGAGAGGACGACCAGCCACACUGGRACUGAGACACGGCCCAGACUCCUACGGGAGGCAGCAGUGGGGAAUUUUGGACAAUGGGCGCAAGCCUGAUCCAGCAAUGCCGCGUGCAGGAUGAAGGCCUUCGGGUUGUAAACUGCUUUUGUACGGAACGAAACGGUUCUCUCUAAUAAAGAGGGCUAAUGACGGUACCGUAAGAAUAAGCACCGGCUAACUACGUGCCAGCAGCCGCGGUAAUA